GAUGAAGAACGCAGUGAAAUGCGAUAAGUAAUGUGAAUUGCAGAAUUCAGUGAAUUAUCGAAUCUUUGAACGCACAUUGCGCCCGCCAGCACUCUGGCGGGCAUGCCUGUUCGAGCGUCAUUUCAACCAUCAAGCCCCCAGGGGCUUGUGCUGGGGCCCUGCGGCUGCCCGCAGGCCCUGAAAACCAGUGGCGGGCUCGCUAGUCACACCGAGCGCAGUAGCACAUCUCGCUCAGGGCGUGCGGCGGGCACCUGCCGUGAAACCCCCCACUGUAACCCCAAAGGUUGACCUCGGAUCAGGUAGGAAUACCCGCUGAACUUAAGCAUAUCAAUAAGCGGAGGA
Molecule: unclassified non-coding RNA, 342 nt
Filed under: soil metagenome
Description: partial contains 5.8S ribosomal RNA, internal transcribed spacer 2, and large subunit ribosomal RNA
Rfam family: 5.8S ribosomal RNA (bases 1-120)
Source: RNAcentral